This 768-nucleotide long non-coding RNA is filed under the name Homo sapiens (human). RNAcentral describes it as "HSALNT0399038". Lineage: Eukaryota; Metazoa; Chordata; Mammalia; Primates; Hominidae. The record is from RNAcentral.
AGCUACAAUUGCACCACUGCACGCCAGCCUGGGCAACACAGUGAGACCACAUCUCAAAAAAAGAAAGCAAAGAAAACUCUUCAUUAGAAACUGAACAUGCUCGCUGGGAAUGAUAUUCAGGGCACAGGGCAAUUCCUUACAGGGGCACACACCCAAGGGCACUGCUGCCACCACAUGGGAAGUUGUGACGGGAGGGAGGAGACUGAGGGCAGGACACAAGACAUGGAGACACACAUUCUGGUCUGUCUGACCAUGGAGCUCUGUCCACACCCAGGCUGCCUGCUGGCUCCCAACCACCACACACAGUAUCUGGCGUUUCUCACAGGUGUCGGCUUCUCUCUCUCGAGUCCAUCUGCUGGCCGUGGACCUGGCUAUUCGGGGCAGGCCCAUCCUGCCCACCUCCCCACACUCUCUCAAGCCUCUGUCUCUGAGCACUGCAGGUUUUGUAGUGUUCCCUCGUCUACCUCUGAGAGGCCAGGCUGACUGAAGAGCUCCUGAGAAAGCCACCAGGACCCACUGCUAAAGGGGUGUCCUUAUGAAGGAGGCAAAGGGAGUUCUGACACGGAGAAGAGUGGUCCAUGUGAAGAUGGAGGCUGAUAUUGGAGUGAUGCAGCCACACUCCAAGGAACACCCGGAGCCGCCAGAAGCCGGAAGAGGCAAGGAAAGACCCCCACCCAGAGCCGUCAGAGAGCACAGUACUGCUGACACCUUGAUUUCAGACUUCUGGCUUCCAGGACUGUGAGAGUAAAUUUCUGUUGUUUUAAACUG